UGCGACCCCAGGUCAGGCGGGAUUACCCGCUGAGUUUA
RNAcentral lists this ribosomal RNA (38 nucleotides) under Euphorbia prostrata. RNAcentral describes it as "partial 26S ribosomal RNA". RNAcentral also lists the same sequence under 2 other names. The record is from RNAcentral. Lineage: Eukaryota; Viridiplantae; Streptophyta; Magnoliopsida; Malpighiales; Euphorbiaceae.